Molecule: ribosomal RNA, 253 nt
Filed under: uncultured bacterium
Lineage: Bacteria
Description: partial 16S ribosomal RNA
Rfam family: Bacterial small subunit ribosomal RNA
Source: RNAcentral
UACGUAGGGGGCAAGCGUUGUCCGGAUUUAUUGGGCGUAAAGCGCGCGUAGGCGGCAAGGUAUGUCGUGCGCGAAAUCUCCCGGCUUAACUGGGAGGGGCCGUGCGAAACUGCCUGGCUUGAGGUCGGAAGGGGAAAGUGGAAUUCCGGGUGUAGUGGUGGAAUACGUAGAUAUCCGGAGGAACACCAGCGGCGAAGGCGGCUUUCUGGUCCGAUUCUGACGCUGAGGCGCGAAAGCGUGGGGAGCGAUCCGG